Chelonia mydas (Green sea turtle) is the source of this 2340-nucleotide long non-coding RNA. RefSeq lists it as uncharacterized. The transcript has 3 exons. Lineage: Eukaryota; Metazoa; Chordata; Testudines; Cheloniidae. The record is from RefSeq and is a predicted model, not a curated record.
AACAAAAGGCAGGACAAACUUGAAACCCCCAAAACUAGCUUAGAAGCUGCAAACAGAAACUUGAAUGCUAAAAGUCUAUCAUAAAAUGCCAGAGGCAAGGAGACAGAACUUCCAACUAAGAGGGACAAAUUCCAGCCUACAUGUACAAGGUGCGGUAAAAGUCAUAGCCUGAGAGAUGCAUAUCAACCCAGAGGUGGAAGGUGUAAUAAAUGCACAAAAUAUUAACAAUUUUGCAGCUGCUUCCUGCACCAGUGCAGUCAGAGGUUUGACUAAUAUUACAGAGAAUCAAGAGCCAUUGUUUCUGGGAUCUUUCACUUGUGACAACACAGAAUCUGCCUGGAGAGUAAAACUGGAUAUUUAUAGCAAGACUAUUGACUUCAAAAUUGAUUCAGAAGCUGAUGUCACAGCCAUUUCAGAAGGGACUUACAUUCAGCCCCUCCCAGAGCUGAAGUCAGCUGACACAGCUCUGACUAGCUCUGGAGGGAUCCUGAACUGCGUGGACUAGUUCACCACAGAAACAAUUUACAAAGACAAAGGCUAUGCGUUCAGAGUGAAUGUGUUCAACAGACUGAAGACCAAGAACCUUCUCAGCUGCACUUUGGCAGUCAGGAUGAGCCCAAUGAGAAAGAACUCAAUGGAGGAUUUAAUGAUACUUAACUUUUGAAUGGAGAUCCAGUCUAAAUCAAGUGGAGACAAUACAGAAACCGUGUACAAAAAUCCCUAUCAGAGAGACUAGUCUUGGAAUAGACUGGCUGCAGAUUUAUGCAAAUUCAAAGGAUAUUAUUACCUGGUUAUCAUGGACUACUUUCCAGGUAUAUAGAAAUGAUGGAAGGUAAUAUCGAUGGUGAGCGUUCAGCUGUUGUGACCUGCACAGUUAGUGCCAUGUUUGUAUUUCUUCCACAGGACAGAAGUGACUUUGUCUGUACAAAGUGCAAGCUGGUAUCCAUAUUGAAAGAGAAGGUUCAAGGUCUGGAGAAAUAAGUAUCGACCCUGUGUUGGGUAAGAGAAACGGAAGAUUUCCUGGACAGACGUCAGGAUAUGCUUCUACGGACACAACGUUUUGAAGAUUCAGAGCAGGCUGCGCAGCGGGGACAGGAGGAUGGUGAAGAAAACUGGUAGCAUGUGACCUCCAGAAAAAGAAAGGGGAGCGUCCAUGUACCAGCAACGCAGAUACAGGGAGAGCGAUGGACAGCUUCUGCUAUCUUGACAUUGGACAUCAGGGAGGGACUCCAUGAUGGACACAGGAAUGGGUUAUACCCAUGGAAAUUCACCCGUACUAGUCUGCUGAAAGAUAAAAGCAUUGAAAUCUGCCUCCAAAGACCGGGAAAGGCUGAAGCAGACGGAGCAGGGAGAGACGCCCACAUUCAAAUCAAAACGGAACGCUGAGAUCUGACUGUUGCAACGCUGCCCCCACCCCGUCCCUGCCCCGGGGGGGCCAAGCUGAGCCUGAGAAGAGCCAGGAUUGACCAAUGAACAUUGCCAAAGAGCCCCAGUAACACGCCAGCAGCCCCCCAUCCACCACCCCCUCCAGCCCCCAGCACCUCCCGCCCAGCGGCAGCCCCGCCCGUCAGCGCCUCCCCCUCCCUCCCCACUCCUCCCGCCCGCCGCAAUCAGCUGUUCUGCCAUGCGCAGGGGGCUCUGGUGGGGAAGGGGCAGGAGCGAGGGCAUGGCAGGCUCGGGGGAAGGGGCAGGGGCCUUGGGGGAAGGGGUGGAGAGGUGGCAGGACCUGGGGCAGAGCAGGGGAUUGAGCAGUGAGCACCCCACAGCGUAUUGGAAAGUUGGCAUCUGUAGCUCCAGCCUCGGAGUCAGCGCUGUGCAAGGAGCCGCGUAUUAACCUCUGACGAGCCGCAUGCGGCCCCGGAGCCCCAGGUCGGCCACCCCUGCCCGAGGGGAAGGAGGCACCAACCUGUCAUGUGCGAUCGAAGGAGCAGGAAAAGAAUCUGGGAAUUACCUUCUGUAAAAACUCAUCUUUUGUCGAAAACCUGUGGAAAAAGCUGAUGCAAGAAGUUGUUGACAGAGGGAUAGUCCGCGUCUCUCAGCAGCUCCUUGGGUCACCAGCCGUUGUCAACCAAGCCAGUUGGCAGACUGAAGGCAGGGCAAGAAUGCUGAGGCCGAACAGUCUUUGCUGUUGGCAUCCGUGACCUCACAAUCAGCUUAAGCAUCAACACACACAGACCCCCCCACCCAGAGAGAUACACACACACAGAAGCUGGUAACAUUUACAACAUGGAGAGAUGCACCCAAAAUCUCGAGGACUUUUGAUUUGGGGGAGGGCAUCAUCGGCGCUGACUGCAUGGGUGCCCCGGGGCUGGAGCACCCAUGGGGAAAAAUUAGUGGGUG